This 213-nucleotide unclassified non-coding RNA is filed under the name Hevea brasiliensis (rubber tree). The record is from RNAcentral. Lineage: Eukaryota; Viridiplantae; Streptophyta; Magnoliopsida; Malpighiales; Euphorbiaceae.
CUGGGCCGACACUUAUCCGGCCGUCGCCAAGCAUGCCUUCACGUUUCUGUUCAAUCAGGCGGAGUUCGGGCUUGGCUGUCCGAUCAAUGUCACCGACGGCGCGCGCGGCGCGUCUGUUGUCGCGGUUUGGCGACGACGCACUGAAAGCAAAGUAUCUCGACGGCCUCACGCAAACCGACAUGUCAAAGCUGACCCAGGGCGGCCAGUUCAUGA